This 336-nucleotide unclassified non-coding RNA is filed under the name soil metagenome. RNAcentral describes it as "partial contains 5.8S ribosomal RNA, internal transcribed spacer 2, and large subunit ribosomal RNA". The stretch from base 1 to 119 matches the Rfam family "5.8S ribosomal RNA", at positions 35 to 154 of the family's 154-position model. The record is from RNAcentral.
GAUGAAGAAGUAGUGAAAUGCGAUAAGUAAUGUGAAUUGCAGAAUUCAGUGAAUCAUCGAAUCUUUGAACGCACAUUGCGCCCGCCAGUAUUCUGGCGGGCAUGCCUGUUCGAGCGUCAUUUCAACCAUCAAGCCCCCGGGCUUGUGUUGGGGACCUGCGGCUGCCGCAGGCCCUGAAAAGCAGUGGCGGGCUCGCUGUCACACCGAGCGUAGUAGCAUACAUCUCGCUCUGGGCGUGCUGCGGGUUCCGGCCGUUAAACUACCCUUUUAACCCAAGGUUGACCUCGGAUCAGGUAGGAAGACCCGCUGAACUUAAGCAUAUCAAUAAGCGGAGGA